RNAcentral lists this ribosomal RNA (253 nucleotides) under uncultured bacterium. RNAcentral's name for it is "partial 16S ribosomal RNA". It matches the Rfam family "Bacterial small subunit ribosomal RNA", at positions 524 to 776 of the family's 1533-position model. The record is from RNAcentral.
UACGGAGGGUGCAAGCGUUGUCCGGAUUUAUUGGGUUUAAAGGGUGCGUAGGCGGCCCGUUAAGGCAGUGGUGAAAGCCUCCAGCUCAACUGGAGAACUGCCAUUGAUACUGGCGGGCUUGAGUACAGACGAGGUAGGCGGAAUUGAUUGUGUAGCGGUGAAAUGCAUAGAUACAAUCAAGAACACCGAUUGCGUAGGCAGCUUACUAGGCUGUAACUGACGCUGAGGCACGAAAGCGUGGGGAGCGAACAGG